RNAcentral lists this ribosomal RNA (483 nucleotides) under uncultured bacterium. Its description in RNAcentral is "partial 16S ribosomal RNA". It matches the Rfam family "Bacterial small subunit ribosomal RNA", at positions 28 to 523 of the family's 1533-position model. The record is from RNAcentral.
GACGAACGCUGGCGGCGUGCUUAACACAUGCAAGACACGGGGGCCCGCAAGGGUAACCGGCGAACGGGUGCGUAACACGUGAGCAAUCUGCCGUACACUGGGGGAUAGCCGGCCCAACGGCCGGGUAAUACCGCAUACGUUCUUCGAGUGGCAUCACUUGAAGAAGAAACCUCCGGGGGUGUACGAGGAGCUCGCGGCCGAUCAGGUAGUUGGUGGGGUCACGGCCUACCAAGCCAUUGACGGGUGGCUGGUCUGAGAGGAUGGCCAGCCACAUUGGGACUGAGCUACGGCCCAGACUCCUACGGGAGGCAGCAGUGGGGAAUAUUGCGCAAUGGCCGCACGGCUGACGCAGCGACGCCGCGUGGGGGAUGAAGCAUUUCGGUGUGUAAACCCCUGUUGCUCGGGACGAACAACGAGUUUCGACUCGUCUGACGGUACCGGGUGAGGAAGCACCGGCUAACUCCGUGCCAGCCGCCGCGGUAA